RNAcentral lists this ribosomal RNA (496 nucleotides) under uncultured bacterium. RNAcentral describes it as "partial 16S ribosomal RNA". It matches the Rfam family "Bacterial small subunit ribosomal RNA", at positions 29 to 507 of the family's 1533-position model. The record is from RNAcentral.
AUGAAUGCUGGCGGCGUGCCUAAUACAUGCAAGUCGAGCGAACAGACGAGGAGCUUGCUCCUCUGACGUUAGCGGCGGACGGGUGAGUAACACGUGGAUAACCUACCUAUAAGACUGGGAUAACUUCGGGAAACCGGAGCUAAUACCGGAUAAUAUAUUGAACCGCAUGGUUCAAUAGUGAAAGACGGUUUUGCUGUCACUUAUAGAUGGAUCCGCGCCGCAUUAGCUAGUUGGUAAGGUAACGGCUUACCAAGGCGACGAUGCGUAGCCGACCUGAGAGGGUGAUCGGCCACACUGGAACUGAGACACGGUCCAGACUCCUACGGGAGGCAGCAGUAGGGAAUCUUCCGCAAUGGGCGAAAGCCUGACGGAGCAACGCCGCGUGAGUGAUGAAGGUCUUCGGAUCGUAAAACUCUGUUAUUAGGGAAGAACAAAUGUGUAAGUAACUAUGCACGUCUUGACGGUACCUAAUCAGAAAGCCACGGCUAACUACGUG